RNAcentral lists this transfer RNA (74 nucleotides) under Phycisphaerae bacterium. Its description in RNAcentral is "tRNA-Arg". It matches the Rfam family "tRNA". From Rfam's summary of the family: Transfer RNA (tRNA) molecules are approximately 80 nucleotides in length. Their secondary structure includes four short double-helical elements and three loops (D, anti-codon, and T loops). Further hydrogen bonds mediate the characteristic L-shaped molecular structure. tRNAs have two regions of fundamental functional importance: the anti-codon, which is responsible for specific mRNA codon recognition, and the 3' end, to which the tRNAs corresponding amino acid is attached (by aminoacyl-tRNA synthetases). tRNAs cope with the degeneracy of the genetic code in two manners: having more than one tRNA (with a specific anti-codon) for a particular amino acid; and 'wobble' base-pairing, i.e. permitting non-standard base-pairing at the 3rd anti-codon position. Lineage: Bacteria; Pseudomonadati; Planctomycetota; Phycisphaerae. The record is from RNAcentral.
GCGUCCGUGGCUCAAUUGGAUAGAGCAUCGGUCUACGGAACCGAAGGUUACAGGUUCGAGUCCUGUCGGACGCG